GUGUCAGUACAAACCGAACCAAGGUGAAACCGCAAACGGCUCAUUAAAUCAGUUUUAGUUCACUUGAGCGAAAACGUCCAAGUUUUUGGAUAACUGUGGCAAUUCUAGAGCUAAUACAUGCAACCGAGUCCCGACCAGUAAUGGGAAGGACGCUUUUAUUAGAUCAAAAUCAAUCGGGGCCGGCCACCGCGCCGCCCCGUCUGACUUGAUGACUCUGAAUAACACAGACCUGAUCGCACGGUCUCCGCGCCGGCGACCCAUCUUUCAAAUGCCUGACUUAUCAACUGUCGAUGGUAGGCUCUACGUCUACCAUGGUUGUAACGGGUGACGGGGAAUCAGGGUUCGAUUCCGGAGAGGGAGCCUGAGAAACGGCUACCACAUCCAAGGAAGGCAGCAGGCACGCAAAUUACCCACUCCCGGCACGGGGAGGUAGUGACAAAAAAUAACGAUACGGGACUCAUCCGAGGCCCCGUAAUCGGAAUGAGCACACUCUAAAUCAUUUAACAAGUACCUAUUGGAGGGCAAGUCUGGUGCCAGCAGCCGCGGUAAUUCCAGCUCCAAUGGCGUAUAUUAAAGUUGUUGCGGUUAAAAAGCUCGUAGUUGGUCCUGCGUCCCACGCUGUCGGUUCACCGCCUGUCGGUGCAACUGGCACGCCGUGGGAUGUCCUGUCGGUGGCGGCCGCGGCCCGGGCGGCGGGGCCCAGGUCCCGGAACGGGCCCGAAGCUCCCCCCCGGGGCCCGCCGGUCGCCUAUCUAAUCCCGCCGCGGUGCUCUUAACUGAGUGUCGAGGUGGGCCGACACGUUUACUUUGAACAAAUUAGAGUGCUCAAAGCAGGCUGAACUCAGCCUGAAUAGUGGUGCAUGGAAUAAUUGAAUAGGACCUCGGUUCUAUUUUGUUGGUUUUCGGAAUCCGAGGUAAUGAUCAAUAUGGACAGGCGGGGGCAUUCGUAUUGCGGCGUUAGAGGUGAAAUUCUUGGAUCGUCGCAAGACGCACUAAAGCGAAAGCAUUUGCCAAGUAUGUCUUAGUUGAUCAAGAACGA
Molecule: ribosomal RNA, 1039 nt
Filed under: Belostoma discretum
Lineage: Eukaryota; Metazoa; Arthropoda; Insecta; Hemiptera; Belostomatidae
Description: bacterial SSU rRNA
Rfam family: Eukaryotic small subunit ribosomal RNA
Source: RNAcentral